Molecule: long non-coding RNA, 7428 nt
Organism: Megalobrama amblycephala (Wuchang bream)
Lineage: Eukaryota; Metazoa; Chordata; Actinopteri; Cypriniformes; Xenocyprididae
Exons: 6
Source: RefSeq, a predicted model, not a curated record
ACUUUAAUUUUGAAAAGAUGUCACAAUUAGCCUCUUAGUUCAGGAAGCAGGAAGUACUAGUUGUACUACAAAAGUUUAGAAAAAUUGUGGUAGCUGUGACAUCCCCAAACAUCAUCUUUCUUUGCAUCUGUUAAAUGCAAUGUCUAAGGACCGAAUAGAAGACACGUCAUCAGCGGACAUUGAUGUAUCCAGCCCAACAUCAAGUGGACCUGAUCCUAAUGUUUGCAGCUGGCAGGAAAGUCAGAACACCUUUUGCGAAUUUUCAUUCUUGCAUCUUCACUUGUCAUUGGUUCUAGCAGGAGCUGAGCACCAACUCUGCCACAAGAACCAACAUCAUUUUGGUUAAAAAAAGUUCAUACAGUAAGAACUUCCAAAUUCCAGUCCAGACUUGAUGCAAAAUCAAUCAUACAUCACUAGAUUUUGGAUCAAAAACAAAAAUGUAUUUACCCAAUUUAACUUUAGUAUGACAGACUAUGCAUCCAUGUUAGAACAUGCCAUGUGUUUUGAUGUAUAAACUGGUAAAAAGGGUGUGUCUGUCCAAAUGUUUAAGCUUAACAUGCAUGUACGGAAUUGGGACUUUUUGUAGUUUGUUAGUUUGAAACAGAGGUUUGAGCCAAUGAAGAGGCAACUCCUCUACUUCACUGUGAUUAGCUGAAAACCCUGUCAGUUAAAAAUCAUGUUUGCAACCAAUUGAAUAAAAUCAGUAGAAACUGGUGGAAAUGGACAGACUAAUAGCAUAGUAAACAACUCACUUAGACAUCAUUACUUUCGGUCAUAUCCAAAUAGAAAUGAAAUGGACAAUCUGUAAGAGAGCUGGUUUUGUAAUUUCUAAGUGAUCAUUUCACUUGUUCAUUUAAAACAAGAAAGAACAUAUGGUACCAUGUAUUUUUACUGCAGUUUAAAUGGUGAAUACAAUCAUUACUAUAUACAGUAUACAAUCAUCAUGCAUGUAGCCUAUAUGAAUACAAUCAUCACUAUGGAGAUACAAUGUUUCAACAGUGAUGAGAUAUAUAUAUAUAUAUAUAUAUAUAUAUAUAUAUAUAUAUAUAUAUAUAUAGGCUAUAACUUUGUUUAAUUAUAUGAGUAAAAAUAUAUGUUACAAUCACAGAAGGGCAGAGACACUGGAUGUAUAAAAGUAAGGUGUUUAUUUUCACAACCAAAUGCAACAACAGCAAGCAGGUGAGUAGAUGGAAAGUCUUCAGUUGAAUAGAGAUAAAUGGAAUGCUAAUACUAUGUAGUUGCAGAUGGAGGAAUGGAAACUGGAGGUAAGAUUCCAACACAGCUUAGAGCUGAGGGACUUCACGAACAUCCAACAAGGUAUUCACAUAGAAGACUGGAGACAAACAGAGUAACAGGAAGGUUUCCCAACAAGGUCCUUGAGAAGAGCAUGGUAAGAUGCUAACGUGUCAACAGGGAGCCAUUAACGAGACCGGACAAUGAUUAUGACUGAGUGAGAGUCCUUUAUACUGCUGGUGACGAGUGCUGAUCAAAUGCAGGUGUGCGUGAUUGAAAUCAGGUGACAGGGUGCACAUUGAGACAAGGUGGAUGAUGGAAGAUGAAGUCCAAACAUGGAAGGGAACUGUGACAUUACCUCCCCCUCCCGGUAGGCGCGACCUCGUGCCGUAGAUGGAACAACCGGGGAGGGGGGUGGGAGAGGAGAGGCUGAAGAUAAACAGGAAACUGGAAGGUAAGGCAGAGAGGAACACCAAGGUGGAACUGAUGGAGGGAGGAGCCAAGGCGGAGUCCUAAACACUCUACUGGGCAGAGCCUGGGUGAUGACUGAUGACAGUGGAGCGAAAUGAUGUACAGACCCAGGUGAAGCCGCAAGGACAACAGCACAGGACGACAUCGCAGGCCUGGAGGACUGAGGUGACGUCGUCUGCUUGAGAGACCGAUGUGGAGGCGGAAGUCUGACAGAACGGGGCGACACCGGAGGGAGCGAGGGCCUCGGUGGAACCAGAGGGAAGGAGGAUCCCGGUGAAGCUGAAGGGGAGGAGGGUUGAGGCGCAGCCGGAGACCCGGAUGUCUGUAGCGAAACCAGAGAGACGAGAGACCAAGGUGAAACUGGAGGAAUGAGGGAGCCCGGUGGAGCUUUAGUGAUGGCGGACAACGGUGACACUGAGGGAGUGCAGAGCCAAGACGGAUUAGCAGGAUCAACAGGUUGAGGUGGAGAACUGGGCCCGGAGGCCUGAGGUGUAGCCAGGGGAUCAGCAUCACAGAGCCACACUGGUGUAGAAAAAGCUCCAGAUGGAGCCGACGAGCUGGCCGGGAUCAGCGGCGAAGGCAGAGUCAAGAAGCUAUGAUACACCAGUGGGGCAGGUAAAUCCAGAGAAUAUGUUGGAGUCAGCAAAGAUGAUGGAGACAAUGGGGUGGGCGGGAAAUUGGGUGGGAUCGCUUCAUCCAAGACAGAGAGUGUUGUAGGGUGUAGAGGAAUGAGCUCUUUGGAGAAAUUUAUUAGUCAGUAUUCCUCACCUGGCUCAUCUGAAAACUGCUUCACUGGACCUGACUCCUCGCUGGAUCUGGUGAAUGGUCCCAGCCUUGGGACGGGUGUGGUGACCUGCUCUGGCUUCAGGGUGGACUCUGUGGCUGGCAUUAACUCUGGGCAUGGAGGGGGCUCAAACUCGUGGUCCGCGGCGGGCACUGGCUCAAGUUCAGACUCUGAAUAAAUCUGUGUUGUUACUCUGGCGUGAUUCGGUUAUGGUCCGGUCUUCUGUUACAAUUCUGUUGCACGUGCAAUACAAUUGACCGAGUUUGAAAGCGGAGACUUUGUUUUUACAUCAAAAGUAACAUGCUCUGUCUUGUCUGUCGGUGUCAGUGUCCUCUUGCUUCAAGAUUGAGAAAAUGUACAGAAUGUGUGGCGUGAGAGUGUGAGAACAGGCAACUGCACGAGUCUCAUGCUGAAUGCCUGAGUUGGCAGCCCUGGUUUAGCUGUUUGGUUUCUCUGUAUUUAUAGCCCUCAGUUUGAGUUGUCAUUUCUCCUUUCUUGUCUAUAUUAAGUUGGUUGUUAUUCUCCUGCACUUUUUCUGCUCCUGAGUGUUUUGUUUUGAUCUUAAUUGUUAAUAAACUAGACUGCUGUGAAUAAAUCUUGCCUAAACUCUGUUGCAACCAGAGCAUGUGACAAUAAGUGCAAAAACAAGUUUAAAUCACUAUAUUUUUAAUCUAAUGUAUAAAUCAUAUACAUUAUAGCAAUGUAUUUCAUUUAAGAGGGUUGUGGCUUGACACAAAGCUCAUUUUUGUAAUUCAUUCUUUUACAAGAACAUCUAAAUGCAGGUUCAAACAGGAAUGCAUUUUUUUGUUUUUCUCAGGUUUAUUCCUGUUCAUGUUUGCUCAAAUUAAAAUGGGUAAAUACAUGUGCUUUAUAACAUUCUAAAUAAAAAAAAAAAAUACCUAACAUAAAUGAUAAUGCAUCAUGUUUUCAAUUUUUAUUACUAUGGUUUAAUGUUUAAAUGAUACUCAAAAUUGACUUUAGAGCAACUUUCAAUUAAAAUCUUACAACAGUUAGGAUUGUCUAGAAUUAGGUCAAUGUUGCUGCUAAGAACCUGUCAUAUCAGCUUUAUAUGUUUUUUGGGACAUGGUAGUUAGUAUUUGAACUGUGCAACUCAACUUUGUUGUAAAUCACUCAAAUGUGUAUUAAAUAUUACGAUUUACUGACACCUUAGUUGAUGAGUUUUCAUAAAAUUUAAAAUUUCUUUGACAUUAAAGUGAUAUAAAAAUCUCUUUCAGGUGUAACACAAUUUGGAUAGUUGAUAAUAUGAGAGUUAUGAUACUUUAUUUAAGAGAUUUAAUUAUUGUAUAACAUGAGUAGCUCUCGGCCACUUUCAUUUUUAAAAAGUAGCUCUCAAAUGAAAAAAGGUUGGAGACCCCUGAUCUUGACUAUGAGAGAAGCUGCAGAGGCAGAAAUCAGUUCAGCAGCUAAGUUAGUCAGAUUGUGAACCGAUGUGUGAAGUAGAGUACCAGGAGAAAGUAUAAAUCUUUUAGUUUAAACUUGCUCAUGUGCAUAUCUUGUAAAUCCUUCUGUUGUAUUUGCUUUAUGUUUGUUCUGAGAAUCAUUUCAUGUUUUUUGUUUGUUGGUUCUAAAAAUCAAAAUCGAAAAAAAAAGUGUGGCAAAAGUUUGUAUCUGUGCAUUAAACCUUGAAGUGUAAAUGCAUCUUCUGGCAACGGGCUGACAACCACACACAAUCUUAGUGGGGUAGUAAGAUUUUGCACAGAAAAGCAUUUCUUGCAUUUUUCAUCAGAAAGUGUUAACAGUGUAUCGUCUUGCUGUAGGGGAUCCAUGCGUCCUGGCCAUGUCUCCAGCUCAGACUCAAGGCCUGCCAAAGUUCAGUCAUCUAACUUCAGGAACACCCAACCAUUCAAUCCAAGACUCAAGAUUUGCCACAGCAUCGCAGGGGAGGAGAAGAUGAGUUUUUCGCCCUGCCCAACCUUUUUGAACCGGAAUACACAGAGGAAGAGACUGCUGCGGCAACACACACCUCUCAAGCAUCGGGCAGAUGAAGAUCUAACGAGAUGUGGUGGUCUCCAUUUAAAUCCCGCCAUUAAAAUCAGUCGCUGAGACAUUACCUUCUAGAAAGAUUUUUGCAUAAAUUACAACUGGGAUUAAGCACAACACUAAAUAUGGAUUACCUGGAGUUUUGUUCUCGUCAGGAGCUGUAUCUUCUGCAGGCACUAUCCAAUCAUGUAGAAGUACCCCCUGCUAUCACCCAGGCUUUGCAAGAGCUUUUUGACCUCGUGAAGGGACAAAUUGAACUUCCAGCUCCUUCUGUCACAGUAGAAGCUGCUGGCACCACAGGACGACCCAAAAUGUUAAUUGAAGAACAGCGCUUGAAAGAAAUGCUCCAUACUUAACUUCAUGUGCCUUACACUGAUGGGUGUUUCGAGAAGCACAGUCUUCAGACGAAUGAAAGAGUAUGAUCUCUCUGUUAGGAGCAUGUACAGUACCAUCAGUGAUGAUGAACUUGACAGUUUGCUUCCAUCAAGAAUGAUUUACCAAAUGCAGGCUACAGGAUGGUCAGAGGGAGGCUGGAGUCAAUGGGCCACAGGGUUCAGUGGAGAAGAGUUGCAGCCUCCAUCCAUGGGUUGAUUUCUUGGGUGUCAUCUCAAGGCUGUCAGGUUUUGUCUGUGUUGUACGCAGAGUGUACUCUGUACCAGGGCCCUUGUCUUUGGUACAUGUAGACACACACCACAAGUUAAUCAGGUUUUUAAUUUAGUGGCUUCCUUUUGCUUUGUCAGGGAGUGCAUUUGAAAAGUAGCCAAUUGAGCCAUUUUCAGAAAUACCAACAGCAAUACUAUAGAAGCCCCCCUGACUGUGUUUGCAUUGUCUCUUGUUUUAACAGAUAUUCAGGACGUGUCAUAUCAGUAAUAGUUGAAAUAAACAAUAAUUGCAUAUGUCCAUAUUAUUAUUUAUUAUUAUUAUUAUUAUUAUUAUAAAUAUUAAAGAUAAAAAUUUAAUAUAUAAAAAGCAUAAGAAAAAAAGGAAAAAUAUAAAAAAAAGUCUCCCUUUGUAAUGUCCUUAAAUGCAUAUGCACAUUGAUUUAAUUUGAUAAUUACUCUGCUAUGUCAUGUUUAUGACAGGUUAUGAUGUAUUGGUUUAUGUCAAGUUGUCAUAACUCGGACAUCUCAAACAAUGUCAUCUUUGCAUUAAAAAUGACAUAAUUGAGCGAAUGGCACUUAAUGACAGUUGUCAUAAACAUGCAUAAAACCUCCUUCAUAUUCAUGACACGUGUCAUGUCAGUCUUAUGCACACCCCUUCAAGUAAAGUGUUACCGACUUAACUUUAAUUCCUUUUAAUUGGUUUAAAUUUUACUUAAUGUUGUAAAUAGUGUACUUGAAUACAGCCACAAAUAACCGUGCUUCAAGUUCGGCGUUUCACUUUUUCCUGGAGGCAAUUCAGCAGCAUGGUUUACUCUCAAGGUGUAUUUGGUAUUUGAGAUUGUUACAAAGCUACAGUGCCCUACUUGUAGGUAAAUAGACUGGGACAAAUCCAAAUGUUCUUUAUCAUCUUACAUUUAAAAAAUAGAUAAAUCUGAGCUUUUACUUGAGCAAAUCAAAAUUUUAUCAAGAAAUAAUUAUUCUGCUCAAAAUAUUUUUAAUCAUCCUUGCUUGUUGAAGUGAUCUUUAAAAGUUAAAGGCCAUUAUUAAAAUCAAAAAUCUAUUUCUGUUAAUUUAACUAUAACUAUUAUGAUUUCAGGGAAAGAGCUGACCAUUUAUGUUUACUUUUCAUCUCUGGAAAAAGCGUGCACAACCAAAGAACAAGAGGAAAUAUUGUCCAUUAAAAAAAACAAACAACAACAAAAAAAAAAAAAACAUUGUUCUUGGUAUGUAUAUGUACUUGGUAUUUAUAAUAAUUCUUUAAACCCACAAUGCACUGUGAUCCAGAAACAAUGUUUUACAUUGAUAUUCCGUUCGAACUUCCAUUAUAACAUCAACCUUCUACACUCUCUUGAAGAGAACAAGCUUCUGGACAUUUCAUACAGAUGACAUAUUCUGUGCAUUAGGCAAUUCUUCUAUGACUCAAAAGAGACUUGGAGAUAUUCACUGAAGGCUGGAACCAUCCACUCCGCACUGAAGGAAACCGGAGUCUGACACAGAUCUGGGAGAUUGCACAUGCUAAACAAUUUCUUUCACUGCUAAAAACGAUGGAACCACAAUGGCUGGAAGUAAAUGGCUGGAACCACAGCUGCCAGUAUUUUACUGUAAAUUUACAGGUACAUUUUUUGUGUGAUGUGGACAAACUCCUCAAGCUGGACCCAACACAAAGACAUGAUGUUGAGGCAGAAUGAAUCUCUCACUGAAUUUGAUUUUGCAGCUGGACUAUACAGAAUGCAAGUGCUGAAUAUAUAGACAUUCACAAUAUUCAGUACAAUAUACUUGCAGUGCAUUCAGUAUACAAUUUAUUCACCUUAAGUUGUGAUUACUAUACUAUUUUUUGUUUUUUUUGUGUGUUUUUACAUAUUUGCAAAAAACAUUUGUUGUGUUACAAUAUACAAUAACUGGAAGUGACCAAAAAAGAUUUGUGUACUGACACAACCUAUCUGGAUGGGUUACAUUGGUAAUGACAUAGGCGUAUUACAGAAAGUUACGGCUUUCAAAACGGAGGUGCAUCAUCUCGCUCUCCAAAAAGUGCCCUGUCAAGUCAGGUGCAGAGGUGCAAAAGGUGCAGAACUCCCCGUAGCACAUGAAAAAAAAAAAAAAAAACAAGACACGGAGGAGAAUGGUACAUACAUUUAUGAAUAUUUACAGCAUUUCCGUCACCAGUUUUGACAUAGGAGUGACGCAAAAGACAAUUAGAAAUCUUUUGAAAUCUGAAAAGUUUUCAGUAGCCAGAGAGUCCAUACUAAGACACGUCUGUAUAAAUCUGACUGGAAUCACAUUUCAAACCUAUGGAAGCCUAUUUCUGCCACUAAAUAAAAAAUAAAAAUAAAAACAGUA